RNAcentral lists this ribosomal RNA (323 nucleotides) under uncultured eukaryote. RNAcentral's name for it is "partial 18S ribosomal RNA". It matches the Rfam family "Eukaryotic small subunit ribosomal RNA", at positions 1470 to 1796 of the family's 1831-position model. The record is from RNAcentral.
CCCUUAGAUGUUCGGGGCUGCACACGCGCUACACUGGAGGAAACAGCGUGUAUUGACCUGGUCCGAAAGGACUGGGUAAACCUGUGAAACUUCUCCGUGCUUGGGAUAGCGGAUUGCAAUUGUUUCGCUUCAACGAGGAAUUCCUAGUAAGCGUAAGUCAUAAGCUUGCGCUGAUUACGUCCCUGCCCUUUGUACACACCGCCCGUCGCUCCUACCGAUUGAGCGAUCCGGUAAAUGUUUUGGAUUGGUGCCGGGGCGGCUAGCUGCCGGUCGCUACGAAAUUUUGUGAACCUUAUCGCUUAGAGGAAGGAAAAGUCGUAACA